UGUGAGUGCAGUUAACGCACGUUCCGCUUAAAGCCACGUCAUUCGUGAACUGUGCCAAGUUCAUCCAGUACCGUUGGAGCCUCAUCGUAGGUCUGGAAGCAGAGAAGAAGAUAAAUUUCUUUCUUUUACGUGGUUAAAACCUUCCGCCCAGUCCAUACACAGCUGCUAGAUACAACUGAAUUGUCCGACGCAAAAAAUAUAAUAUUAUUAUUAUGGAAAACGGGAAGGAAAAAAUGGAAAAUUGUAACAGGAUGUCAGAAUGAAGGGCUUGAAGAAAUGUAGAUACGAAAUAAUGAACGGUAAAAGUCAGGGCCGUUUUGCUCCAUGUUUUCACCAUGUCUUUAUAUCUCUUGUACACAUGACGUGAAAAGGAUUGCUUCCGUCAUCUCGCUUGCAUAAUUUUGAGAAACUCGAGUAAGGGCCAGUCGGGCGAGACCUGUGCAGGCGACUCGGGACAUCAAGGGAAAAGGGCGUGUUGGGAGACGUGGUAUUGUGAACUUUCCUAUUCCCGAUUACGGUGACGUUAAGCCCAAAGUU
Molecule: long non-coding RNA, 537 nt
Organism: Cryptotermes secundus
Lineage: Eukaryota; Metazoa; Arthropoda; Insecta; Blattodea; Kalotermitidae
Exons: 2
Source: RefSeq, a predicted model, not a curated record